AAUAGAUUAGCUCAAUUGGUAGAGCAACCGUUUUACAGACGGUAGGUUAAGUGUUCGAGUCACUUAUCUCUUA
This 73-nucleotide transfer RNA is filed under the name Thelebolus microsporus. Its description in RNAcentral is "tRNA-Val". It matches the Rfam family "tRNA". Rfam says of the family: Transfer RNA (tRNA) molecules are approximately 80 nucleotides in length. Their secondary structure includes four short double-helical elements and three loops (D, anti-codon, and T loops). Lineage: Eukaryota; Fungi; Ascomycota; Leotiomycetes; Thelebolales; Thelebolaceae. The record is from RNAcentral.